GACGAACGCUGGCGGCGUGCUUAACACAUGCAAGUCGAGCGGAAAGGCCCUGCUUUUGUGGGGUGCUCGAGUGGCGAACGGGUGAGUAACACGUGAGUAACCUGCCCUUGACUUUGGGAUAACUUCAGGAAACUGGGGCUAAUACCGGAUAGGAGCUCCUGCUGCAUGGUGGGGGUUGGAAAGUUUCGGCGGUUGGGGAUGGACUCGCGGCUUAUCAGCUUGUUGGUGGGGUAGUGGCUUACCAAGGCUUUGACGGGUAGCCGGCCUGAGAGGGUGACCGGCCACAUUGGGACUGAGAUACGGCCCAGACUCCUACGGGAGGCAGCAGUGGGGAAUAUUGCACAAUGGGCGGAAGCCUGAUGCAGCAACGCCGCGUGCGGGAUGACGGCCUUCGGGUUGUAAACCGCUUUCGCCUGUGACGAAGCGUGAGUGACGGUGAUGGGUAAAGAAGCACCGGCUAACUACGUG
RNAcentral lists this ribosomal RNA (468 nucleotides) under uncultured bacterium. RNAcentral describes it as "partial 16S ribosomal RNA". It matches the Rfam family "Bacterial small subunit ribosomal RNA", at positions 28 to 507 of the family's 1533-position model. The record is from RNAcentral.